UCACUGUGAACACCGAGUGCUGCACACUAGGGCUAAUGUUAGCUACUUAAGCUAAAUUGCACUAACAGGGCAGGUAUCAUAAUCAAGUAACAUUCAACUCAGUGAAAUAUUACGACAAUAGUCCGACUCAGUGCGAGUCCUGGAGCUGAGGAGAGCAGCAGUCACGUUUCUGAACCUGCUGCAAACGUCGUUGCUGGUUUACAUGGACAGGAGCAGCACCCAGCUGGUUCGGCCUGUAUGGACUCUGUGCUGUGCAGCAGGGAAUCAAUGAGAGAGACGAGGAGGACGGCAGUAAAGAGUUCUGGCUGAUGUCUGCCGUCAAACUCAAACAAGCUUUAGUGGCGUUUUUCCUGACUGGCCUCAUUAACAAGACCUGGACCCCCUCUGAAAUGGACUCUGUCCCACCUAUGGACACAUUAUACAUUAUACAUACUGUAUGUUAUAAAUAUAUAUGUUAUAUUACUGUAAAGAACCCAUCACACCCAACAAUGGUGCUUUUAUAUGAUUGCAAUUAUUUGUAUUAUUACAUUUGCACA
Long non-coding RNA from Thunnus maccoyii (southern bluefin tuna), 536 nucleotides. RefSeq lists it as uncharacterized. Lineage: Eukaryota; Metazoa; Chordata; Actinopteri; Scombriformes; Scombridae. The record is from RefSeq and is a predicted model, not a curated record. The transcript has 3 exons.